CUCGUCAACCCCUUUCCCUCCCCAUUUUUACUCUGACUAACCACUAUUACCACCGGCGAGCCACCCAGACCAGACCCAUGGUGACUGGUGAACCUCCAGCAGCCUUGAACGACGGCCAAAGGUGCAGCAGCGGCAUGAAAAUGGAGGAGAGAGGGAGAGAAAUACGCGCGAGGCAGCAACUUCCAAGCCUCGUUCCGACGCUAUCUGAUGGUUGUUUCCGACAAGGCGGUGCUCAUUCAACUCCUGGCACAACAAGCUUCAAGACCCGACUAACCUUACCUCUAAUGGUGGCCGGAGAGAGAAGAUCCGGCGAGGCAAAGUUGAGAGAAAAUCAAAUGGGUUUCGCCGGUUUCUGGCCACUUUUCCAGCGAUCCGACCGUUGGAUCAGAAAUUCAAGAUCACCGAUGGACUCAAGGCGACAAAAUCUGCGAAAUGAGACCGGCCUCGCUCCGAUCGAACAUCGUUUGAAAAAGGCAAUUAUCGAACGGUCCAUAUUGUUUGGUGAGAAUUUUGAGCUUUUUUUAUUCCCAAAAAUUAAAAAUAAUUUCA
RNAcentral lists this unclassified non-coding RNA (549 nucleotides) under Hevea brasiliensis (rubber tree). The record is from RNAcentral. Lineage: Eukaryota; Viridiplantae; Streptophyta; Magnoliopsida; Malpighiales; Euphorbiaceae.